AUUCUGAGCCUCUGUGGUUCAAAACGAGUGCCUUUUUGCUGA
This 42-nucleotide small RNA is filed under the name Vibrio cholerae O1 biovar El Tor str. N16961. Lineage: Bacteria; Pseudomonadati; Pseudomonadota; Gammaproteobacteria; Vibrionales; Vibrionaceae. The record is from RNAcentral.